Molecule: long non-coding RNA, 880 nt
Organism: Miniopterus natalensis
Lineage: Eukaryota; Metazoa; Chordata; Mammalia; Chiroptera; Miniopteridae
Source: RefSeq, a predicted model, not a curated record
GGAUGUCCCUAAAUCUGCCCACAGAGAGAUCAAGAUACAUGUUUUCAGUUUUGAGGAUGACCUUAGAAACCUAUUUGGGGCUUAUUUUGUUUACUCAAACAUAACUAUAGAUCCGUCUCAGCCAACAGAUGUCCAGAACAUGAACUUGAUGAUCAUUGGCUCAACCAAUGGAGCUGAGAGUUUCAACUAAUUUCCAUUUUUAUGACAUAGCAUGACUUUUGUUUCUUUGUUCUCUCAGAAUCACCUUCAAUCCCCCCUGGAAAGACCCUAACUGAUCGUUUCUAACAGGGUUAGAUCGUGUGAGCUGAAUGGAGACUUGUUUAUGACUGCCUUAUCCACAUAUGCACCUGACAUGCUUUCUCUCAGCAGAGCAACAAAUUGGAUUUUUCAAGAGCAGGAAACAGACCCCAGUCAUUGGUAAAAUCCUUUCUUACAUCAGUAUUGAUAUGGGUUGCCAAGAGGUCUCUGUAUUAUUUGCGCUUCUCCUUUCUUCGCUGCAGUUGUUUCAACAUAUUGUAUUUUAUUGCUCUGGAUUAGAUGCCUAUUUUGGGAACCUCUGAGAGACCCUGAAGACUGAGGGAUUUUUCCACAGUGGCACUCCUCCCAACGAGCACUUCUUGCCUCUUCUGAGAACCAUCCUUGACCAGCUUUUCUCUGAAAUUGGCUGAACUUAACCUGAUCCUCUUCUGCUGAAACCCUAUAAAGAAUUCCAUCAUCUUUCCUUUGAGACUUUCUUCAUGCCCAGCAUCUUUGAAAUUUGCUUAUGUUAAUGGUAUUCUGGUUACUUUUCUUCCACAAAACAUACUGUGUGUGUGCAUACUGGUAUAUGUAUAUGCAUGUGCCUAUAAUAAAAUAGUUUGUCACAAUGCUUUAAAGUGAA